This 460-nucleotide ribosomal RNA is filed under the name uncultured bacterium. Its description in RNAcentral is "partial 16S ribosomal RNA". It matches the Rfam family "Bacterial small subunit ribosomal RNA", at positions 338 to 795 of the family's 1533-position model. The record is from RNAcentral.
CCUACGGGAGGCAGCAGUGAGGAAUAUUGGUCAAUGGACGAGAGUCUGAACCAGCCAAGCAGCGUGAAGGAUGACUGCCCUAUGGGUUGUAAACUUCUUUUAUAUGGGAAUAAAAUGUUCCACGUGUGGAGUUUUGUAUGUACCAUAUGAAUAAGGAUCGGCUAACUCCGUGCCAGCAGCCGAGGGAAUACGGAGGAUGCGAGCGUUAUCCGGAUUUAUUUGGUGUAAAGGGGGCGUAGGUGGAUUGUUAAGUCAGUUGUGAAAGUUUGGGGCUCAACCGUAAAAUUGCAGUUGAAACUGGCAGUCUUGAGUACAGUAGAGGUGGGCGGAAUGCGCGGUGUAGCGGUGAAAUGCUUAGAUAUCACGAAGAACUCCGAUUGCGAAGGCAGCUCACUGGACUGCAACUGACACUGAGGCUCGAAAGUGUGGGUAUCAAACAGGAUUAGAUACCCCAGUAGUC